RNAcentral lists this transfer RNA (72 nucleotides) under Millerozyma farinosa. RNAcentral describes it as "transfer RNA-Asp". It matches the Rfam family "tRNA". From Rfam's summary of the family: Transfer RNA (tRNA) molecules are approximately 80 nucleotides in length. Their secondary structure includes four short double-helical elements and three loops (D, anti-codon, and T loops). Lineage: Eukaryota; Fungi; Ascomycota; Pichiomycetes; Serinales; Debaryomycetaceae. The record is from RNAcentral.
GCAUUACUAGCUUAAGGGUAAAGCCUUAUAAUGUCAUUAUAAGUGAUGUCAGUUCGAGUCUGAUGUAAUGCG